GCACAAGCAGUGGAGUAUGUGGUUUAAUUCGAAGCAACGCGAAGAACCUUACCAGGUCUUGACAUCCGAUGCAUAGCACAGAGAUGUGUGAAAUCCUUCGGGACAUCGAGACAGGUGGUGCAUGGUUGUCGUCAGCUCGUGUCGUGAGAUGUUGGGUUAAGUCCCGCAACGAGCGCAACCCUUAUGGUCAGUUACUACGCAAGAGGACUCUGGCCAGACUGCCGUUGACAAAA
This 233-nucleotide ribosomal RNA is filed under the name uncultured bacterium. RNAcentral describes it as "partial 16S ribosomal RNA". It matches the Rfam family "Bacterial small subunit ribosomal RNA", at positions 923 to 1163 of the family's 1533-position model. The record is from RNAcentral.